This is a small nuclear RNA of Dermacentor silvarum, 187 nucleotides long. RefSeq annotates it as U2 spliceosomal RNA. Lineage: Eukaryota; Metazoa; Arthropoda; Arachnida; Ixodida; Ixodidae. The transcript has a single exon. The record is from RefSeq and is a predicted model, not a curated record.
AUACUUAUGUUCCCGAGCAUCGCGAGCGUCGUAAAUGUUCUUAUCGGCUUAAUAUAUGAUACGGGGCGUAUUUUGACCCAAUAUAUAAACUCAUUUUUGCAAGUUGGGGAGUGCUUGCAGCCUGCUUCACCUCCCCCGCGGGUCGUCCCGGUAUUGGACUAUCAUCGGGAUUUUCGGUCUACGGACA